UGCCAGCCGCCGCGGUAAUACGGAGGUGGCAAGCGUUGCUCGGAAUUACUGGGCUUAAAGGGCGUGUAGGCGGCUAGAUCAGUCGGGUGUGAAAGCCCUCGGCUUAACCGAGGAAUUGCAUUCGAUACUGUCUGGCUUGAGUGCGGGAGGGGAGAGUGGAACUCUAGGUGUAGCGGUGAAAUGCGUAGAUAUCUAGAGGAACGCCGGUGGCGAAAGCGACUCUCUGGCCCGCAACUGACGCUGAGGCGCGAAAGCUAGGGUAGCGAACGGGAUUAGAUA
RNAcentral lists this ribosomal RNA (279 nucleotides) under uncultured bacterium. RNAcentral's name for it is "partial 16S ribosomal RNA". It matches the Rfam family "Bacterial small subunit ribosomal RNA", at positions 506 to 784 of the family's 1533-position model. The record is from RNAcentral.